This 1704-nucleotide long non-coding RNA is filed under the name Marmota monax (woodchuck). Lineage: Eukaryota; Metazoa; Chordata; Mammalia; Rodentia; Sciuridae. The record is from RNAcentral.
UGGCGCACCAUAGGUUGGACUUUGCUGGUAUCCGAGGAGAAGGGUUGCUAGGAGACCACGCUAAUGAAGGAGUCACCCACUACCAAGAUGGCAAGCUAUACGGCUUCACGCCAGAAACCAAGGCCUUGCUAAGCAACCAUUUUAGAAUCUGGCAAAAUUCAGUUUCCGGGCCGAAACCAGACCAACUCGAUACACGCAGAGAGAAGCAAAGGGAGAAUACCAACUAGGACCCCAGGAAAAGGGUUACCUGCCCCUAACCAAGAUGGCCGCCCAGGAAACUCGGGGCACGUGGGACAUGGCGGCGCUUCCGGUCCCAGUGCCCUCAGUGAAGAUGGCGGCUGUGGAGAAGCGGCGGCCGGCGGUAACACCGGCGGCCAGUUUCACGGACAACGGCCGGCCGUCGGUGUCCCGGGCGCAAGCGGCCGCCGAGAAUGAGGAGGACUUCCUGCGGCAGGUCGGCGUGACCGAGAUGCUGCGCGCGGCCCUGCUAAAGGUUCUGGAGGCGCGGCCCGAGGAGCCCAUCGCCUUUCUGGCGCACUACUUCGAGAACAUGGGCCUGCGCUCUCCGGCAAGCGGCGGCGCCGGAGAACCCCCGGGACAGCUCUUGCUGCAGCAGCAGCGCCUGGGUCGCGCGCUGUGGCACCUUCGCCUGGCUCACCAUUCACAGAGGUGCGGGCGGGGCGGCGGCCAGACUACAGUUCCCGGCAUAUUGCGGGGCGCGGGGCACUCUGGGAGUUGUAGUUCGCGGCCUCCUGGCCGGAGCCGGUGGGCUGGUAUUGCGCUAUAUUUCCGGGCGCGGAGCUUGCUGGGAGUUGUAGUCCUCGCCUCCUGGGCGGGGUGGAGCUGCUACUUCGCCCUCAGUGCCGGCUGCGGGCUGGUGCACGUUUCUGCUGCAGCUGGGGGCUUUCUAGGUCGGAGGGUACCGUAUCCCUUAAGCCAGAAACGAAUAACUGGACCUGGAGAUUGACUAAAGCCGAGCGUGGCCCGCGGGAGGAAAGCCUGGAGUGGGGCGAGCCGGGGCUACUGGUCUGUGUCCCGGAUGGGACGGUUCUGAACUCCCAAGGUGGCCGAGUUCCUAGGUGAGGGUUGCAGCAGACUGGGAAGCUGUCUAACACGCAGCAUCAGCCCUGGGCGACUGUCUGGGGCUGGUGGGCGGUGUUUGGGGGGACCCAGAAGCAGAGGCUGAGGCGGGCAUUGCGUGAUGGCUUAGGAGUGGUGUGCCAGCACGCAGUGCGCCUCAGUCCGUCCCCACGGUGACUCCGGCGCCCCUCAGGGCAGCCCUGCCCGAGCCGGAGAAGCUGGGAGUCUGAGCGCAGCUGGACGGGGUGGGGGCUGGGAGGAGGAGCAGGUGGGCAGGAGGCGGAGUGAUGGGAGUGGAGGGGAGUAGGACUGGCUCCUUGGCACGAGGAGCCCACAGCGGGAAGGUGGACUGGAUUGCCUGAGACAGGGCUGGGAUGGGGCCGUUGUAGACUGGGGGAUUUGAGAAGGCCUCAGGAGAGAAGAGCAGAGCCCGCAGAAAGGGUGGGUGGGAAGGCAAAGCCAGAGAUGAAGAGCCAGGAGAAGUGGCCUCAAGGCGGAAAUUGAUCAGUGGCAGGGCUCCGUAUGUGGUGGCUCAGGUCAAGCACAGCUGUCACAGACGAAGAUGUUUAUGUUCGUCUCGUAGGGCUGGUGGGCAUGUUGGCCCACAUCUGUAAUCUCAUCAGC